GAUGAACGCUAGCUACAGGCUUAACACAUGCAAGUCGAGGGGCAGCGCAGUGUAGCAAUACACGGGCGGCGACCGGCGCACGGGUGCGUAACGCGUAUCCAACUUUCCCGUUACUCAGGGAUAGCCUUCCGAAAGGGAGAUUAAUACCUGAUGGUGUUUGAAAUUCGCAUGUUCUUCAAACUAAAGAUUUAUCGGUAACGGAUGAGGAUGCGUACGAUUAGCUUGUUGGCGGGGUAACGGCCCGCCAAGGCGACGAUCGUUAGGGGUUCUGAGAGGUUAACCCCCCACACUGGUACUGAGACACGGACCAGACUCCUACGGGAGGCAGCAGUGAGGAAUAUUGGUCAAUGGACGCAAGUCUGAACCAGCCAUGCCGCGUGCAGGAAGACGGCUCUAUGAGUUGUAAACUGCUUUUGUACAAGGGUAAACCUCGGUACGUGUACCGAGCUGAAAGUACUGUACGAAUAAGGAUCGGCUAACUCCGUG
RNAcentral lists this ribosomal RNA (486 nucleotides) under uncultured bacterium. Its description in RNAcentral is "bacterial SSU rRNA". It matches the Rfam family "Bacterial small subunit ribosomal RNA", at positions 28 to 507 of the family's 1533-position model. The record is from RNAcentral.